ACCUACGGGGGGCAGCAGUGGGGAAUAUUGCACAAUGGGGGAAACCCUGAUGCAGCGACGCCGCGUGAGUGAAGAAGUAUUUCGGUAUGUAAAGCUCUAUCAGCAGGGAAGAAAAUGACGGUACCUGACUAAGAAGCCCCGGCUAACUACGUGCCAGCAGCCGCGGUAAUACGUAGGGGGCAAGCGUUAUCCGGAUUUACUGGGUGUAAAGGGAGCGUAGACGGCAUGGCAAGUCAGAUGUGAACGCCCGGGG
RNAcentral lists this ribosomal RNA (253 nucleotides) under uncultured bacterium. RNAcentral's name for it is "partial 16S ribosomal RNA". It matches the Rfam family "Bacterial small subunit ribosomal RNA", at positions 337 to 607 of the family's 1533-position model. The record is from RNAcentral.